RNAcentral lists this ribosomal RNA (460 nucleotides) under uncultured bacterium. RNAcentral describes it as "partial 16S ribosomal RNA". It matches the Rfam family "Bacterial small subunit ribosomal RNA", at positions 338 to 795 of the family's 1533-position model. The record is from RNAcentral.
CCUACGGGUGGCAGCAGUGAGGAAUAUUGGUCAAUGGCCGGAAGGCUGAACCAGCCAUGCCGCGUGAAGGUCAGUGCCCUAUGGGCGUUAAACUUCUUUUGUGCGGGAGCAAUAAUGGUCACGUGUGGCCAGACGAGAGUACCGUACGAAUAAGCAUCGGCUAACUCCGUGCCAGCAGCCGCGGUAAUACGGGGGAUGCAAGCGUUAGCCGGGUUUAUUGGGUUUAAAGGGUGCGUAGGCUGUGAGGUAAGUCAGCGGUGAAAUGCCCCCGCUCAACGGGGUGAAGUGCCAUUGAUACUGGCUGGCUGGAAUGCGGAUGACGUGGGAGGAAUGUGUGGUGUAGCGGUGAAAUGCAUAGAUAUCACACAGAACACCGAUUGCGAAGGCAUCUCACGGAUCCGCGAUUGACGCUGAUGCACGAAAGCGUGGGUAUCAAACAGGAUUAGAUACCCCAGUAGUC